Molecule: ribosomal RNA, 254 nt
Filed under: uncultured bacterium
Lineage: Bacteria
Description: partial 16S ribosomal RNA
Rfam family: Bacterial small subunit ribosomal RNA
Source: RNAcentral
UACGUAGGGGGCUAGCGUUGUCCGGAUUUAUUGGGCGUAAAGAGCUCGUAGGCGGUGUGUCACGUCGGCCGUGAAAACCUGCAGCUUAACUGUGGGCGUGCGGUCGAUACGGGCGUCACUGGAGUUCGGCAGGGGAGACUGGAAUUCCUGGUGUAGCGGUGAAAUGCGCAGAUAUCUGGAGGAAUACCGGUGGCGAAGGCGGCAUCCUGGACCGACAUUGACGCUGAGGAGCGAAAGCUAGGGGAGCAAACGGG